Non-coding RNA from Macaca mulatta (Rhesus monkey), 1520 nucleotides. The record is from RefSeq and is a predicted model, not a curated record. NCBI's taxonomy places the organism in Eukaryota, Metazoa, Chordata, Mammalia, Primates, Cercopithecidae.
UUUUUUUUUUAAGAGGGGGUGGGGGUGGUUUUACUUUUUCACAGUGGUUGCUGAGAAAGAAUCUUCUGUUUAUAGGCUCCUAACAAAUAGUGACAGCUGAAAGACAAAUAUGGUGCUGUGUUUGCAGGACGAUGGAAGGGGGCCAGCAACCCGCAGCCUCCAGGCACACACACUCACAAGGAGGCCUUUGAGAGUGCUGCCUGGCAUUGUGUGUCCACAGAUUGCUUGAAAUAAUUUAAAAAGGUGUUUGCCUCAUACUUUCAAUGACAAUUUUUUUCCAGAGAUCCACCAGCAUUGUACAAAUUGAUAGGAUUGUCAAGUUUUUUGUUUUUGUUUUUUUUUGUUUUUGAAUCUCAAGGCUUUUGCUUAACAGUGGCUAAAACGCAGAAAGAUUUGAAUCUAUUUUCACAACAGGAUUCUUUGACCUUUGGGUCAGACGCUGGAGUGUCACAAACCAAGAAGCCAGGGAAUCCCGGAAUGCCUGGAGGAAACACAUGGAACUUCGAUGUGAAAAGGACCUUAAAAGAUUUAGUGUCAAUGUUUUCAACACAACACACAGCACGGAAUCUGAACUUCCCCAAUUCAUCGUCACCAUUCUGAAUUUUCUUUUUUAACCCAGAAGUGUUGGAUUGGUCAUUUGGUUUGGGUUCUAUGUCAGAAACCAUUUGCAGACAAAUGGCGAGGCAGGGCUCAGACAGUCCUCAGAGGGGACUUUUGUGAGAGUUUGAUUCUGCUGGAGAGCUGAGACGCGCAUUUGUCCACAGGAAACUGAAGAAGCAGGGUUGCCGUUGCCUUCAAAAUGAAAUUCAUACGCGGUGUUGGCCAGGCUCCUCUUUGCCUUCUUAUCCUCUAACAGUUGGCCUGGCUGGAAACCUUGUAGUCACCACCGACUCCACCACUUCCUUCAAUCCCUAAAACCAACCAGUGGCCAAGUUUUGCUGAUUUUAUUUUUGUAACGCCUGUCACGUGUACUCCUGCUCCUGCUGCCCUGAUCUGGUCAAUCGCUUCUCCGCACCCGGACUAGGAUCACCUCUGGCUCUUGGCUUCCACCUUGCUCCUUUGGAAUCCCCCAGAACCAUCUUCCGAAAGCUUCCUGCUGCCCAGGUCACCUCCUGCAUGCUCUCCCACUGCGUGUCACUCGAUCGAACCAUUGUUUCCUUCUGCACCAAAGUUUAUUUUCUUUACAGAGCUAUAUCAUUUCCAAUACGUCUUUCUUUUCAUAAUUCUAUCUUGUUUUUAUCAACUAGAGAGUUUAUGAUUUUAAAGUCCUUUUUAGAAGAAUCGUCCUUUUUUUUGAAGCUUCUUGAUCAUUUACUGCUCAUGUUCCCUAUAGAGUGGUUAUCUCUGUUAGCUGCCUGAAAUCCUUUCCGGAACAAGAUGGCGUUUGGUAUCUUGAUUAUUGAUCUGUUUCACGCACAGGGCGGGAAGCUGGGGUGCAUCAGAACUGCUGCUCUCUGAAGCAACUUGAAUACUUAGAGAAAUGUCAUAUAUUACAAAUAAAAAUCCACAAGGUAUUUUAA